Molecule: ribosomal RNA, 450 nt
Filed under: uncultured bacterium
Lineage: Bacteria
Description: partial 16S ribosomal RNA
Rfam family: Bacterial small subunit ribosomal RNA
Source: RNAcentral
GUGGGGAAUUUUGGACAAUGGGGGCAACCCUGAUCCAGCAAUGCCGCGUGCAGGAAGAAGGCCUUCGGGUUGUAAACUGCUUUUGUACGGAACGAAACGGUCCUGGUUAAUACCUGGGGCUAAUGACGGUACCGUAAGAAUAAGCACCGGCUAACUACGUGCCAGCAGCCGCGGUAAUACGUAGGGUGCAAGCGUUAAUCGGAAUUACUGGGCGUAAAGCGUGCGCAGGCGGUUUUGUACGACAGGCGUGAAAUCCCCGGGCUCAACCGGGGAAUGGCGCUUGUGCCUGCAAGGCUGGAGUGCGGCAGAGGGGGAUGGAAUUCCGCGUGUAGCAGUGAAAUGCGUAGAUAUGCGGAGGAACACCGAUGGCGAAGGCAAUCCCCUGGGCCUGCACUGACGCUCAUGCACGAAAGCGUGGGGAGCAAACAGGAUUAGAAACCCCGGUAGUCC